Molecule: long non-coding RNA, 245 nt
Organism: Thalassophryne amazonica
Lineage: Eukaryota; Metazoa; Chordata; Actinopteri; Batrachoidiformes; Batrachoididae
Exons: 2
Source: RefSeq, a predicted model, not a curated record
CAGCCAUUUUCAGAUCUCUCCAGAAAUGUUCAAUCGGAUUCAGAGUUGUCCUGAAGCCACUCCUUUGAUAUCUUGGCUGUGUGCUUAGGGUCAUUGUCCUGUUGAAAUGAUGAACCAUCGUCCCAGUCAGAGGUCAGGAGCGCUCUGGAGCAGGUUUUCAUCCAGGAUGUCUCUGUACAUUGCUGCAUUCAUCUUUCCCUCAAUCCUGACUAGUCUCCCAGUUCCUGCCUCUGAUAGACAUCCCC